UACGGGGGGGGCAAGCGUUGUUCGGAAUUACUGGGCGUAAAGGGCUUGUAGGUGGCCAACUAAGUCAGACGUGAAAUCCCUCGGCUUAACCGGGGAACUGCGUCUGAUACUGGAUGGCUUGAGUGUGGGAGAGGGAUGCGGAAUUCCAGGUGUAGCGGUGAAAUGCGUAGAUAUCUGGAGGAACACCGGUGGCGAAGGCGGCAUCCUGGACCGACACUGACGCUGAGGCGCGAAAGCUAGGGGAGCAAACGGG
Molecule: ribosomal RNA, 253 nt
Filed under: uncultured bacterium
Lineage: Bacteria
Description: partial 16S ribosomal RNA
Rfam family: Bacterial small subunit ribosomal RNA
Source: RNAcentral